UUUGAAUUUUAUUAAACCAGCAAAUACAUUGUAAAUAGACAACCAGAAGAUUCAGAAACAACAAAAAUUAAGAGUAGCUUGCAGUAUCACAUGUUCGCACUUUUUAGGGGUUGCACGAAUCAUAGAGUCACUUCAACGGGGAAAAUUUACCAUCUCCUAACAACUAGAAGGAGAAUUACAGAUACAAAUAAAGGUUCUAGAUAUAAAAACUUGUUAAUGAAGCUCAUUGGUUCAACUGCCCUCGGAUUUCUCCAGUGUUGCCAAAUAAAAAGGAAAAUAAAGGUUCUAGAUAUAAACACUUGUUAAUGAAGCUCAUUGCUUCAACUGCCCUCGGAUUUCUCCAGUGUUGCCAAAUAAAAAGGAAAAUAAAGGUUCUAGAUAUAAACACUUGUUAAUGAAGCUCAUUGCUUCAACUGCCCUCGGAUUUCUCCAGUGUUGCCAAAUAAAAAGGAAAAAAAAUAGAGACAAGGUGACAAUGUUAGUACCAAAACCAGCUUCACUUAACAGCAAGUAAUAAGAAGUGAUAACCAAAUACAGCACCAUGAAGAUGGAAAUUAUAAAUUAUAGCAGUUAAAUGUAGUUGAGAUGAAAAAGAGUUCCCAAACAAAAAAAGAUCUCAUAAUACUUCAGAAAGUCAGUCAAGUUCGUCAUUGAUCAACUAAUAGUUUUAUCUGAAUUUUCCAAGCACAAAUCCCUCUGCAUAACAACUUUAGUACACGGUUUUUCCUAAUUGUUCUUUUGAUUAGUUCAGCAGAUAAACCAUGUUGAUUAUCAUUUCUUUAUUGGCUAGGUCUUUCUGUAGCAUCAUCACAUCAAGGGGACAGUAGCCUAAUGGAAGUGCCAGUCAUAGCAUUUCAUGGUGCUUUCCAUGAUAAGACAAAGGAGACUGGUGAGGCAGUGUCUCCUUCACUGGAGCUACACUAGCACAAUAACCUCUAAAUAGAAAUAUUUGAGAGCAAUACGAAAAGGUUCUCAGUCGAUUUACAGAGGGCAUCCAAUUUUUCUAAGAGGAGGUUCUACCUGCGGAAUACAUAGCCAAGAUAAAAACAAGUACUUACUCUGAAAAUAGUUGUAGAGAGGAGAGAAAAAUAUGCAUGAUAUAAAUCAAAAGGUUAGAAGUCCAACUGAAUGUUGAGUGAGGCAUUAGGUGUGUUUAUAUAGAGGGAGAAAAAUGAUGAGAUGGAUCGGUUUAAUUACUCAUGAAAGAUGCCUUGUUNNNNNNNNNNNNNNNNNNNNNNNNNNNNNNNNNNNNNNNNNNNNNNNNNNNNNNNNNNNNNNNNNNNNNNNNNNNNNNNNNNNNNNNNNNNNNNNNNNNNNNNNNNNNNNNNNNNNNNNNNNNNNNNNNNNNNNNNNNNNNNNNNNNNNNAGAUUAUCAAGGUUAAUGGAGAUGGUUGUAGAGACUUAAUUUACAAAAUAACCCUUACGGUCAAGAAUGACACGGAGGAACAUUUUCGAACGUCUAUAUAAAUCUUUGAAGUUCCCAAUCGUCAGGCUAAGGGUAAUGAGAUCUUUUGUACAUUCCUUUUUUUUUUUAAGUUUCCUAAAAAGAGUGACCUACUUUUUUUAAUAUGUUUAAAAAAAUAAUUCCUUUUUUUUACAACACUUUAAUUUCAAAUUUUCGCUUGACAUGCUUAAAAUCAUAAAAUUAAAUAAUAUUUUGAUAUAUUUGACAUAAAUUUAAUUUAAGACAAUAUAAAGUCGAUCUAAUCAUACCACAAAAUUGAUCUACCCACCACUAAAGAGACAUUACAUAGCCAAUGAAAAUAAAAAAUAGGUCACACUCGGGAGCCGCAUUUUGCAUUUAAUAUAUGUGCUUAUAAUUUCCAGCAUCCCAAUCCCUUUUACAGGAAAAUCAACAUGUAGCUCAAACAUGUCCAAUUAUAUAUUUACUUUGUGUUAUUUUUAUUUGUCACAUUUUGAUUUAACUUGCAUAGUAAAAAAAUAAUUAAUAUGAUUAUUUUAUUAAAUUUCUUAGAAUGUUUUAGAAAUAUUUUGUAGUGAUGAUAAAAACUGUUUAACCCAUAAUUGCAACUAUAACAAAAUAGUUCCUUCAUCACUACAAAAUAGUUUCAUCAUCACUAUUAUCUGAAAUAUAAUUGUCUCAUUUAAAUAUUCGACAACAGAAAAAAUUCAUCAACGCACAACCAUGAAUAGAACAUAUCACAAUCACAGCUCUAACAAAACAGAUCAAUCCAGCAGCAAAAAAAUUCACUACUUCCCUCACGAAGGAAUGAGACUCACCUGAUUUUUGCAAAUCCCUUAUAGCACAGGUUGUUAAAAUAGGAGAGACAUAAAUAGUACGCGUGACAGGUUGUUGUUUGAUGCAUUCUACUAUAGUCUUUUUACUCACCCUGGCCAUGUUAAAUUUCUGUAAUCAGCUAUCUUGUGUAUUCCCUGCAUAAAAAAACAAACGAUAAAGAUAAAAACUUUUACUGAACAAUACAAAGAAUUACAGUUACACACCGUGUCACGUGUCAUUUUGCAUUUACUCCUUGCCCUAAUAAAGCGAUAAUCUAAAAACUACAACUCAUCAUCCGCAUCCUCAUUCUCAGCCUCACCCAUUCUAUUAUCAAUAUUUCGUUGAUAUAUCCAGCUAUAAUCAGGUUCCAUCUAUACAAUUAAUCACAUUCAAGUAAUUAGUUCAAGUCACAAAAGUUCACAUUUCAAGUACCUACACUUAAAUAUUUUCAAGUCACUAAUUCACUUCUCAAGUGACCACACUUCACUAAAAUGAAAACGUUUCCUCCUUACAUCAGCCUUGUUGCUUAGUAAAUCAAUAUGUCAUUGUACGGCUAAAAGGGAAACUCAUUUUUCUUCAAUUUUUUUAGAAGUUUCAGUGCAGUCAAUCCGUUGUUGUCCAUGUUUGAACAGCAACUGAGGGGUAGUAUUCAAUCAUGCAGUCAAACAGUUGUUGUCCAGGUUUGAAUAGAAACUGAUUGACUGUAUGUUUGAACACUACCUAAUGAUUGAAACUACUACAAGAAUAGGAAAAAAUGAGUGUUUCCCCUUUUAGCUAUACGAUAGCAUAUCGAUUUACUAAGUAACAAAACUUAUGUAAGGAAAAAGAUUAUCGCUUCAUUAAGGCAAAGAGUAAAUGCAAAACGCCAUGUGACACAGUGUGUAACUGUAAUUCUUUAUACUGUUUAGUAAAAGUCUUAUCGUUACCGUUUGUUUUUUAUGCAGGAAAUACUCAAGAUAGCUGAUUACAGAAAAUUUAACAUGGCCAGGGUGAGUAAAAGGACAUAGAAGAAUGUAUCAAACAACCUAUCACGUGUACUAUUUAUGUACACCCCAGUUUUAACAGCCACAUUGGAGAGGUUCUCAUCUAUAUUUUUCAAUUAAUGUUGUCUUCUAAUUUUCUUGCUAGUUUCUUAAAUAUAGAGAGUUUAAGAUGGGGCUAUAAGGGGUUUGCAAGAAUCAAGCAUAGUUUGCUUUUUAAUUUAGGAUAUAUCGUGAGAGAAGUAGUGAAUUUUUUUUACUUCCAGAUUGAUCUGUUUUGUUAGAGUUGUGAUUGUGAUAUGUUCUGAUUGUGUGAAUUUUUUUUGUUGUCGGAUACUAAAAUGACACAACUAUAAUUUAGAUAGUAGUGAUUAUCAAACUAUUUUGUAAUAAUGAUGGAACUAUUUUGUAACAGUUAUAAUUGUGAGUCAAAUAGUUCUUCUUAUCAUUACAAAAUAUGCCUAAAACAUUCUAAAUAAUAUUUAAUGUGAUUAUUUUAUUAAAUUUCUUAGUAUGUUUUAGAAAUAUUUUGUAGUGAUGCUAAGAACUAUUUGACCCAUAAUUGCAAUUGUAGCAAAAUAGCUCCAUCAUCACUACAAAAUAGUUUCAUCAUCACUACUACUAAAAUAUAAUUGUGUCAUUUAAGUAUCCGGCAACAAAAAAAUUCACCAACGCACAACCAAUGAGUAGAACACAUCACAAUCACAGCUCUAACAAAACAGAUCAAUCCGGAAGAAAAAAAAUUCACUUCAUGAAGGAAUGAAGGCUCAUCUAUUUAUCACACAAUAUACUAAAUUAUAAAGCUAACUACGCUUGAUUUUUGCAAAUCCCUUAUAGCCCUAGGUUGUUAAAACUGGAUAGACAUAAAUAGUACACAUGACAGGUUGUUGUUUGAUAUGUUCUUCUAUAGUCUUUUUACUCACACUGUCAUGUUAAAUUUUCUGUAAUUAGCUAUUUUAAUAUUCUCUACAUAAAAAAACAAACAUUAAAGAUAAAAGACUUUUACUGAACAACACAAAGAAUUAUAGUUACACACCGCAUCACAUGGCGUCCUAAUGAAGCGAUAAUCUUCGUCCUUACAUAAACCCUGUUGCUUAGUGAAUCGAUAUGUCAUUGUACGACUAAAAGGGAAACACUCAUUUUUCUACAAUUUUUUGGCAGUUUCAGUGCAGUCAAUCAGUUGUUGUCCAUGUUUGGACAGCAACUGAUUGGUAGUAUUCAAUCAUGUAGUCAAACAGUUAUUGUCCAGGUUUGAACAACAAUUGAUUGACUGUAUGUUUGAACACUAUUCAAUGACUGAAACUACUAAAAAAAAUUGAAGAAAAAAGAAGUUUUUCCCUUUUAGCUGUAUGAUGGCAUAUCGAUUUGCUAAGCAACAAGGCUUAUGUAAGAAAGAAGAUUAUUGCUUCAUUAAGACAGGCUUAUGUAAGAAAGAAGAUUAUCGCUUCAUUAAGACAAGGAGUAAAUACAAAACGCCACAUGACGCGGUGUGUAAUUGUAAUUCUUUGAAUUGUUGAAGUCUUAUCUCUAUAAUUUGUUUUUUAUGCAGGAAAUACUCAAGAUAGCUAAUUACAAAAAAUUUAACAUGGUCAGAGUGAGUUAAAAGACGAUAGAAAAAUGUAUCAAACAACAACCUGCCAUGUGUACUAUUUAUGUCUAUCUCAGUUUUAACAACCACACUAGAGAGGUUCUCAUUUAUCUUUUUAAAUUAAUGUUCACUUCUAGUCUAAAAUAGUCUUUCUACUUCUCCGGAGGUAGUGAUAUGGACGGCAUACAUUUUACGCUCCCCAGACCCCACUGCAUAUUAAUGUUCACUUCCACUGCAUAUUAAUGUUCACUUCUAGUUUAUGGAUGAAACAAAUUUUCUACUUCUUCGGAGGUAGUGGUAUGGACUGCGUACAUUUUAUGCUCCCCAGACCCCACUGCAUGGGAAUACACUGUCUUUGUUGUUGAUGCUUUCUAAAACUUUUUCUUGCUUGUUUCUUAAAUAUAGAGAGUUUAAGAUAGGGCUAUAAGGGAUUUACAAGAAUUAAGCAUAGUUUGCUUUUUAAUUUAGGAUAUCAGGUGAUAGAUCAGUACUUCAUGAGAGUAGUGAAAUUUUUUAUUUUUUUUGCUGCCAAAUUGAUCUGUUUUGUUAGAGUUGUAAAUAUGAUGUGUUCUGGUUGUGUGAAUUUUUUUUGUUGUCGGAUACUAAGAUAACACAAUUAUAUUUAAAAAUGAUCAAACUAUUUUGUAGCAAUGAUGGAACUAUUUUGUGACAAUUGCAAUUGUGGGUCAAAUAGUUCUUAUCAUCACUACAAAAUAUUUUUAAAACAUUCUAAAAAAUAAUUAUAUGAUUAUUUUUAUUAAACAUUCCAAACUCGGAUAAUCUUUAAUGUCAAAUCCCUAUCAAAGUAAAAGUCGACCAAAUAGAGACAAACAUCACGUGUUGCAACCAAAUAUGUUCUUGUAAGAAAUAAGCUUUGGAAAAAAAUGUAGUAAGUUAUAUCAGACAAGUAUCCAAGAAUUUUAUUUGCUUGUAAGUACCACAUAAAAUGGUAUUGUUUUUCACAUUUCAUUUAUUUUCAUUAGCAUAUCCACAUAUGAUAUUCAAUCUUUCCCACGAUUCUGACAUAAGUGAGUAUAUCAAAACUAGCGAAUUCCGAUCCCCUCCCCCCCCCCCCCCCCUUUUUAGAAAGUAAAAUUAACCGCUUUUUUUUAUUAACAUGCUCUAUACUAAAAAAAGACUCAAAAGUCACUUCCUACCGAAUUGCACCACUUUGUAGAGUUGAGUAAUCAAACUUGAUGUUUAGCAUCCACAUGGUGUUAUUUAAUGGUGGUGGUUACUGUUUGACUGCCAUAUGAUGCCUUUAAAAGAAACAAGGAGAAGUAAUGCUUGAAAAGAUCAGCAAGUCAUUUUAUUUUGUCUUUUCUGUAAAAUUUAGGAUAUCCAUUAAUGUUUUUCCUCACUAUCUUUUCCUAAAACCCCUGUUGAGUUGCCUUCCAGCAACUAAGUUUCAUUCGAUAUCCAGCUAAGACAUAACUGAUUAUAGAGUUAGCCAAUUGAAUAGGAUUAUAUUUAAAACCAAUGAAGAGGUUAUAACGAAUUGAAACAUGGAAUGUCAUUAGAAAUUUCAAUUCCCAAAAAUUCUUCCUUCUUUUUGCUAGUUUCAACAACAGCAACAAACAUAGUGUAAUCCCACAGGAUGGUUCUGGGGAAGGUCGAAGAUAAGAAGUUUUGUUUUGGAAAGAAACUCGGCUGAGAAAUAAGUGAAAAAGAGGCAAUAGUAUCAAACAAAAACAACAGCAAGGCAAAACAACUAACUGGUACAUGUAUUAAUCUAAUAGUCUCCAUUUCAUUAGACCAAAACUCAAUAUUAUAAUCUCCCCCUAAGUCUGUCCAGAUCUAUAAAUCAUACUGAUGUGCCAAGUCGUGUGAACAAGUUAUGGAUACAACACAUUAGAAAAUAUGCAGAGCCACGUGUACUUAAAGGGUAUCGACCGACAUCCCUUUUUCAAAAAAUUACAUUGCACAGCUAGGCAAAAAUUUUACAUGUAUAUACUACAUAUUGACACCCCUCGAUUCGGGCUUAAGCCAACUCGACCAAGGGGGAGCUUAACUCGAUUUCAAUAAUAGCAGCAUAACCUCCGACUAAUGUAUGUAGACCAAGGACUUUACUUCUUCGUAAAUUUACUUCUUUAUACCGUGACAUCCCUUGGUUAAAGUUCUUGCUCUGCCAAUUAGGACCCAACCACAAGAAAAUUCAUGUUAUAUUACCUAUUUGACGGAAAGCAAUCUAUAUAAAAGAUGAACUUGAAAGAGAAAAAGGCAUCUAUAGAGCGAAAGGUGAAAAACACAUCUAAAGUAUUCCAAUUUUUGAAUUUCAUACCUAAACUAUCACUAAUUAGUUAGUAAAACACGCAUCAACUGCUAGGCAUGUAACUGAAAAUAUCAGGAUAGUAAAGGUGUGUUUUGGACCGUUAACACAAAUCUAUCUAUAUAAUAAAAGAUUUGAACUUGAUGGAGGAAAAACAAUCUAUAUUCAAAUAUGCAAACAGUUUUAGUAGGCACAUAGAUGAUAAAAGCAAGUAAGUACCUCGCUCUCCUCGAUCUGACCCACAUACUUGUUCCAGCGCUCAAAAUCUCUGGGCUUCCAAAAAUACCCUACUUCUUUGUCGACAAUCGAAUCGUCACCGUCGAUGUCGCUUCCAUCCGUCAGAGGUAAUUGAUCCGAAGUUUCGAAAACGCUCGAUUCUUCUUCUUCUUCUGCAUCUUCCUCCUCAUUCACCUUUUGCUUCUUCACCGACGGCUCAUAAUCUGAUUCGCGCGAAUAUUCCGAUUUGCUUUCCUUUUCACCCUUCUGAUGGCAGCGGUGGUGAUGAUGGCGGCGAUGGCUUUUCACCUUCUGAUGGUGGUGAUGACGGCGGCGGCUGUGACAACAAAUUGACAAAACCCUAGCAUCACAAAUUUGGGUAUGGACUAUUGCCCCAAUAGAGCCUUUAAAUAGAGGUGAACCCAAAACUUUUUGUUGGUUUUUUUUACAAACAGC
Molecule: long non-coding RNA, 7748 nt
Filed under: Capsicum annuum
Lineage: Eukaryota; Viridiplantae; Streptophyta; Magnoliopsida; Solanales; Solanaceae
Description: long non-coding RNA (CANN_LNC007660)
Source: RNAcentral